Molecule: transfer RNA, 83 nt
Filed under: Actinomycetota bacterium
Lineage: Bacteria; Bacillati; Actinomycetota
Description: tRNA-Leu
Rfam family: tRNA
About the family: Transfer RNA (tRNA) molecules are approximately 80 nucleotides in length.
Source: RNAcentral
GCCCGAGUGGCGGAAUGGCAGACGCGACGGACUCAAAAUCCGUUGUCCGAAAGGGCGUGUGGGUUCGACUCCCACCUCGGGCA